UCAUCUCUCUGGAGCUGCCUCCAGCUCUGAAAUGCCGUGAUGACGUGGUGACAGUGAAACCAGGGGAGGGGGUGAGAUCGCUGACGAAGACACGUGAAAGGACUGGCAAUGGAGUCUCAGGAAAGCUUGGCAUUUACGGAGAAGCAGGGGAACCGACGGAGACCAAACAGGGAAGCGGUAAUGGCUGUAAAGUAUGCUCUCCACCAGCUGGUCAGGAAGACUGACAAGGACAAAGAAGUCCCUUCAGACCGUGUUUUCCUCAAACAUCGUAAUGUUGGAUCAUCAUCUACUCAUGUACAAGGGCUUCAUUCUCCAGAAGCUGUCAUUUUACAUAAACCUCUCACCAGGCACAUCCAUUCUCACGGCCAAAAUCUCCAUAUCAAACACUGCUUCCACCAUGGAACUGACAGCCCUCCCUACCCUGCAUGGGGCCUCAGAGAGGCUGACAGGACAGACACCCCGUGCAGGGGCGACGCAGGACAGACUGAGUGGGUGACCCGGGAAUGCCGCCAGUCCGUCCUUACCACCUUCCUCAGGCCUCCUGGGGGGAUCCUUGCUCCUUCCUGACGUCUCUGAUGGGUGUGCGUGGCCCGCAUGCCCUCAGUGGGGGGCACACAGGAGCCUGGGAGUGGAGGGGAAGACCUGUGUCCCUCCAAAAAAAAUACGUUGACAUCCUAACCAGCAGUACCUCAGAAUGUAAUCUUAUUUGAAAAUAGAGUCUUUGCAGGGUAAUUAGGUUAAAAUCAGGUCAUUAGGGUGGGCCUGAUCCGAUAGGACUGGCAUUCUUACAAAAAGGGGUAGCUGGGAGACAACACGCUCAGAGGGAAGACCCGCCGUGUGCCCGGAGGCAUGCGUCUGCCCAAGAAGGGCCACCAAGGACAGUUAGCAACCAUGUGAAACCAGGACGGAGGCCUGGGACAGGAUAGACCCUCGGAAGGAGCCAGCCUCGCCUGCGCCCUCCUCACCCCCAGACUGUGAAGGAUCAAUUUCGGCUGCCUUAAGGGUGUGGUCCUCUGAUAGGGUCACCCCAGGACACUCACGUGGCCAGCUUGGAGGCAUGGCCAAGUUUGGAACUGAGCUUCCAGGCCAGCAGCCCUGGCAGGCUGUUCACUUCUCAGGAAACAAACAGCGAUGCUGAGGGGUCAGGUGGGUGUGGCUUCCUAGACCAAAUAGUAAUCCAGCUUGCAGAUUCCUUUCUAAAAGAGGGAUUGUCAGUCAACCCACCAACUAUUGUUCGCUUUCCUGGCCGGGGGAGGCCCUGGGCUGGAGACCUGGAGUGGCUGAAGAAGGACACCAAGCUGCUCUCGGGAAGUCCUCAGUCCAGGCAACGAGAGGGGGCCCAGGAGGCCUUCUUACAGCGAGAGUUCCCUGCAGGAGUAAAAGACCAGUUGCCAAGUUCAAGAGAGCAC
Vicugna pacos (alpaca) is the source of this 1409-nucleotide non-coding RNA. The record is from RefSeq and is a predicted model, not a curated record. Lineage: Eukaryota; Metazoa; Chordata; Mammalia; Artiodactyla; Camelidae.